GAUGAACGCUAGCGGGAGGCCUAACACAUGCAAGCCGAGCGGUAUUGUUUCUCCGGAAAUGAGAGAGCGGCGUACGGGUGCGUAACACGUGUGCAACCUGCCUUUAUCUGGGGGAUAGCCUUUCGAAAGGAAGAUUAAUACUCCAUAAUAUAUUGAACGGCAUCGUUUAAUAUUGAAAGCUCCGGCGGAUAGAGAUGGGCACGCGCAAGAUUAGCUAGUUGGUGAGGUAGCGGCUCACCAAGGCGAUGAUCUUUAGGGGGCCUGAGAGGGUGGUCCCCCACACUUGUACUGAGACACGGACCAGACUCCUACGAGAGGCAGCAGUGAGGAAUAUUGGUCAAUGGGUGCAAGCCUGAACCAGCCAUCCCGCGUGAAGGACGACUGCCCUAUGGGUUGUAAACUUCUUUUGUAUAGGGAUAAACCUACCCUCGUGAGGGUAGCUGAAGGUACUAUACGAAUAAGCACCGGCUAACUCCGUGCCAGCCGCCGCAGUAA
RNAcentral lists this ribosomal RNA (495 nucleotides) under uncultured bacterium. RNAcentral describes it as "partial 16S ribosomal RNA". It matches the Rfam family "Bacterial small subunit ribosomal RNA", at positions 28 to 523 of the family's 1533-position model. The record is from RNAcentral.